UGGGAAUCUUAGACAAUGGGGGCAACCCUGAUCUAGCCAUGCCGCGUGAGUGAUGAAGGCCUUAGGGUUGUAAAGCUCUUUCAGCUGGGAAGAUAAUGACGGUACCAGCAGAAGAAGCCCCGGCUAACUCCGUGCCAGCAGCCGCGGUAAUACGGAGGGGGCUAACGUUGUUCGGAAUUACUGGGCGUAAAGCGCACGUAGGCGGACCAGAAAAGUUGGGGGUGAAAUCCCGGGGCUCAACCUCGGAACUGCCCUCAAAAACUAUUGGUCUGGAGCUCGAGAGAGGUGAGUGGAAUUCCGAGUGUAGAGGUGAAAUUCGUAGAUAUUCGGAGGAAACACCAGUGGCGAAGGCGGCUCACUGGCUCGAUACUGACGCUGAGGUGCGAAAAGCGUGGGGAGCAAACAGGAUUAGAUACCCUGGUAGUCCACGCCGUAAAACGAUGAAUGCCAGACGUCGGGCAGCAUGCUGUUCGGUGUCACACCUAACGGAUUAAAGCAUUCCGCCUGGGGAGUACGGUCGCAAGAUUAAAAACUCAAAAGG
RNAcentral lists this ribosomal RNA (541 nucleotides) under uncultured bacterium. RNAcentral describes it as "partial 16S ribosomal RNA". It matches the Rfam family "Bacterial small subunit ribosomal RNA", at positions 356 to 908 of the family's 1533-position model. The record is from RNAcentral.